GCCAACCGUGUGAGUGUAAGGAAUUCAGUUAACCUCCUUGAGCUGAGCUUCCUUGUCUGUAUCAUAAACACAACCACAUGUCCCUCCGUGGGGAUUAAUGUGUGGACCUAAUACUGCACACCUGGCAGAGACUGCUUAGGACACUCCCUACUUCUCCCAUGACAACAAAGCUCCCCAUGGCUCUUCCCAUCUGCAGUUCUCAAAGUCAUCAUAAUUGGUCAACCAACCCACCCGUCCAUCUAGCCAUCCAUCCACCCACCAGGAAGUACGCAACCCAUGAAGCAGCCUUGGCAAGUACCACCCCCGAGGACAGAGGCUAGAAUAAAAUCAAGAGCUGCCACCAGGGCAAGUUUCUGGACCAGAGAUUCCCGCAGCCUGGCUCGGCAGGGGCCAGGUACUUCUGGAAGGCGAGCAUUCCUAAAAUACGUUCUUUGAGAAGCUCCGAAUGGUCAUAUCCAUUCACCAUCUCUAAGGCACCGAGUCUUUGCUGGUUAUCAAUGGAAAGGAUGGAUCGUGAGUUCCAAGCUGUUAGCAACAGCUAACAUUUAUUUAUCAAUAAUAUUGUCCCAAUAGACUGUCUGUGGCGGCCACAACACCCCUUCCCAAGGAUCUAUGGGUCCCUCCCAGCCAGCUGUUGGGGGGUGGGGUUACUAUUAUUAUCCAAAUACAUAGCACAACAAUUAGGAGCCCAGAGAUGAGAGCCAGCAAAGUUUGCGUUCCUGCUCUCACACACUGCAUGACACUGUACAAGUCUCAAUGUCUUUAUCUGUAAAAUGGAAAAUAUGAUACUUAACCCACAAACUUCAUGUCAGGAUUAAAAGACAUCACAUAUGAAAUGUCCUUUCACAGUGCUGACCCAGUG
Molecule: long non-coding RNA, 862 nt
Filed under: Vulpes vulpes (red fox)
Lineage: Eukaryota; Metazoa; Chordata; Mammalia; Carnivora; Canidae
Description: lncRNA (ENSVVUG00000015031.1)
Source: RNAcentral